ACGGAGGAUGCGAGCGUUAUCCGGAUUUAUUGGGUUUAAAGGGUGCGUAGGUGGACUGUUUAGUCAGUGGUGAAAUGCUGAUGCUCAACGUUAGCAUUGCCGUUGAAACUGACAGUCUUGAGAGUGAUUGAGGCAGGCGGAAUGUGUGGUGUAGGGGUAAAAUGAAAAAAUAUCACGGAGAACUAAAGUGGCGAGGGCAGUUCACAAAGCCACAACUGACACUGAAGCACGAAAGCGUGGGGAUCAAACAG
This 251-nucleotide ribosomal RNA is filed under the name uncultured prokaryote. RNAcentral's name for it is "partial 16S rRNA". It matches the Rfam family "Bacterial small subunit ribosomal RNA", at positions 525 to 775 of the family's 1533-position model. The record is from RNAcentral.